UCNGAUGGUAUGCUGCUUGCCUAUGAUGC
This 29-nucleotide non-coding RNA is filed under the name Mus musculus (house mouse). The record is from RNAcentral. Lineage: Eukaryota; Metazoa; Chordata; Mammalia; Rodentia; Muridae.